UAGAUAAAUCUUGGAAUAAAUUUGUUUAGUACCUCAAAAAAUCUGGUUGAAAUUUUGAAUGGAAUUGUGUAGACUUUAGAGAUUAAUUUGGGGAAAUAUUGGCAUUUUUUACAAUUUUCCAAGUUGUUUCAUUUGUGAAUGGGGGAUAUAUUGCUAUUUAUUCAGAUCUUUCACGUUUUAAUUAAAAAAAAUUUUUAUUGAUUGAUUGAUGAUCAUCUUUUUAGGGCUGCACCUCUGGCAUAUGGAAGUUUUCAGACUUGGAGCUGUAGCUGCUGGCCUAUGCCACAACACAGCAACACCAGAUCUGAGGCACAUCUGUGACCUACACCACAACUCAUGGCAACACCAGAUCCUUAACCCACUGAGCAAAGCCAGGAUUCGAACCCGCAUCCUCAUGGAUACUAGUCAGGUUCAUUACCACUGAGCCACCACAGGAACUCCCAUAGAAAUAUCAGUAAUUUUUGUAAGUUUAUCUUGUAUCUUAUAAGUUUCCUCUGUGUCUUUUCAUGGUGUGAUAACUCGUUUCUUUUUUUAUCAUUGAAUAACAGUAUAUUGUGUGGAUGUACUGCAUUCACCUACAGAAGGACAUCUUGGUUGCUCCCAGGUUUUGGCCAAUAUGAACACAGCUGCUAUAAACACUCUUGUGUAGGUUUUUGUGUAGAUGUAAGUUUUCAACUAAUUUGGGUAAAUACUUAGGAACACGAUUGCUGGAUCAUAUGGUACAAUUGUGUUUAGUUUUAUAAGAAACUGCCAAACUGUCUUCCAAAGUGGUGGUAUGAUUUUGCAUUCCCACCAGCAAUAAAUCAGAGUUCCCAUUGCUCCACGUCCUCAUCAGCAUUUGGUGGUGUUAGGGUCUGGAUUUUAGCCAUUCCAAUAGGUAUGUGGUAGUAUCUCACUGUUGUUUUAAUUUGCAAUUCUCUGGUGACAUAUGAUAUUGAUGAGCAUCUUUUCAUAUGCUUAUUUGCCAUCUGUGUAUCUCUUUUAGUAAAGUGUCUGCUCAGAGCUUUUGCACAUUCUCAAAUGAAGCUACUUGUUUUCUUACUGUUGAAUUUUAUGAAUUCUUUGCAUAUUUUAGAUACAAGUUCUUUAUCAGAUAUGUAUUUUACAAAUACUUUUCUCCCAGGUUGUGGCUUAUAUAUGUUCAUUCUUUGCAGUGUCUUUUUCAGAACAGAAGCUUUUAAUUUUAAUGAUAUCCAGUUUGCUAAUUUUUUCUUUCGUGGAUUGUGCUUUGGUGUUGCAUCUGAAAAACUCAUUGCCAAACCCAAGGUGCCUUAGAUUUCAUCCUGUUUUCUUCUGGAAGUUUUGCAGUCCUGCCUUUUACAUUUAUGUACAAGAUCUAUUUUGAGUUACUUGUGAAAGAUAUUAAGGACAGUGUCUUGAUUCUAUUUUUUCUUUGUAUGUGGAUGUCCAGUUGUUCUAGCAUCAUUUCUUAAAAAGAGUAUCCUUUUUCCAUUGAAUUACCUUCUCUCUUUUGUCAGAGAUCAGUUGACUCUGUCUGGGUGGGUCUGUUUUUGGGCUCUCUAAUCUGUUUCAUUGAUCUGUUUGUUUAUUCUUACACCAGUAUCAUACUGUCUUGAUUAACUGUGGCUGCUUUUUAAUUUAUGUUUUAUAACCUUGUACUUCUGGAAAAGGAUUUGAGAUAGAUUGCAAUUUCAGUUAUGUGGAAGAAGGGAAAUUUUAAUAAAAGGUAAAAAUUAUAACUAAAUUAUUGAUUCUUCUGGCAGUGUGGCUCUAUUCUUUCAAAAGCUAGAACACACAGAAAUAUUACAAUAAAGUAUGGGCACGCCUGAGGACUUUUUACCUGCUGUCAUUUAUCUGACAACAUUAAAAAUUGUAGUUUAGACAGAGCAAAGUUGAAGUUAGGUUAUUCUUACUGUUUACUUUUGAGUUUGGGGUGAUCAGUUAUUUCGUUAAUAUUGCAUAGUUAGCUAUAUACAUUUUAUUGAAGACACAUCUUAAUACGUUAGUUAAGAAUUGAACCAGCCACAAAUGGUUGGUUGAAAUAUACACAUGUGCAAGUCUGACCAUAUUUUUUUUUAAUUUUUAUUUUUUUUAGGUCAAUGAUGCCUUCCUUCAUGUCAUAAAUCGCACCUCCAUGGGCAAGGUGCUUCUCUCCCUUAAAUGAACCCUUACAAACUCAGCAUGUCUAAAUCCAAAACUCAUCCUCCUUCCAAAAAACCUGAUUUCCCUUAUGUUUCUAAAGGUCUUACCACCUUCCUUAUUAAUCCAGUUUCAAAAUCUUUUCGAUUAACCUUUGAUUCUGUUUCCUGAUUCCUCACAAUUAGUGUGAUCAUAUACUUGCUUGUCCAAACUUGGACCCCUUUGUGAGUGAAAGGAUGCUCUUAGGAACUGCACCAGGGAAACAGGUGUCCCAGGCAAACCUGUUUGUAAUGCAUCAGUGGUCAGGUUCUGUCAUCCCCAUCUCUCGCCUCCAUAGCCUCUUUUCCAGUCUAAUGAUGUCACAUAUGCUAAUUCCAGUCACCCCCUAACUGACUUUCCUACCUUUAAACUACCUACCUCCUUCCUUGUUACUAAAUACUGCCAUGGCGACCUUCCCAAAGCACAGCCAUGACGGUAUUGUCUCUGAACCCUAAAUGGCUCACCAUCGUCUACAGGGUGGCUUUCAGACUCCUCGAGCUGGCACUUCAUGAUGACCAGGAUUUUGCCCCUGUCUGCUUUCCGGCCUUGUGUUGGACAGCUCCACUGGUCCCUCAGUACAUUCAGAUUUCUCGCCUCCCCCACUUUGCUCAAGCAGUUUCCUCUACGCUCUUACCUCUGUUAGACAUAAGCCUUCCUCACCUCCAAGACCUACUUCGGCCUUGAGCUUUUCCCCUCUGGAGGGUGGUUAUCUCUUCUCUUCCCCUCUUCCCUUCCUGUAGCUUCUCCCCCAGGAUGUGUCACACUCUGCCUUGCACCAGCAGGAGCAGCAUGUCUAGUGCCGUGAACAUAGGAGUCUAAAUCCCAGAGGUGGGUUUGAAUCCCAGUCUCAGCACUUUGGAGGUGGUUACUGAAGGUCUCCAAGCCUUUGUUUCGCUCCCUGUAAAGUGGGUAUUACAAUCUCCAGCUCACAAGGUUCAUGUGAGCAAUCCAAGCUGUGGUGGGACAAGGCACCUGCCUUGGGUUAGGUGGUUAACACGUACUGGUCACUGUUAUUUCUUCCUCUCCUCCUUUCCCAAGGUCACUUAAGUUCCUUGAAAGCAGGUCUGAUUCACCUGUACCACACACCUGUACCACUCACCUAGCACAGUGCGUUUCCGUGGAACUGAGCUGAAUUUGAGUCAUUGCAAGUCUUAGAUUAUGGGAUCAAAUUAAAAAUAUAUUACCCUGGAAGCAAAUGUUCAUCACAGACAAAUGGAUAAACAAAAUUGCUGUAUACAUACGCUGGAAUAUCAUUCAGCCUUAAAACAGAAGGAAAUUUUGACACCUCCUACAACAUGGAUGGACCUUGAGGACAUUAUGCCAAGUGUGCUAAGCUGGUCAGUCACGAAAGGACAAAUAUUGUAUAAGCACCUGUGAUCGUUAAAGUCAUAGAAACAGAAAGUAGACUUGUGGUUGCCAGCACCUGGGGAGAGGAGGAAAUGGGGCGUUACGGGUCCAAAGCUCCCACUCAGGAAGAUGAAAAAUUUCUCAUCGUGGAUGGUGGUGACGGUCGCACGACACUGUUAAUGUGCUGAAUGCCAUGGAACCAAUCACUUGAAAAAUGGUUCCAAAUGGUAAAUUUCAUGUUAUGUAUAUUUUACUGAUCUAAAAAAUACAAAAAUAAAAGAAUAUAUUAC
RNAcentral lists this long non-coding RNA (3776 nucleotides) under Sus scrofa (pig). RNAcentral describes it as "lncRNA (ENSSSCG00000035617.3)". Lineage: Eukaryota; Metazoa; Chordata; Mammalia; Artiodactyla; Suidae. The record is from RNAcentral.